GUGGAUUAGAUACCCUAGUAGUCCACGCCGUAAACGAUGGGCACUAGAUGCUUGGGGGAGCGACCCCCUGAGUGUCGACGCUAACGCAUUAAGUGCCCCGCCUGGGGAGUACGGCCGCAAGGCUGAAACUCAAAGGAAUUGACGGGGGCCCGCACAAGCGGUGGAGCAUGUGGUUUAAUUCGACGCAACGCGAAGAACCUUACCUAGGCUUGACAUAGCCGAGAAACCCUGUGGAAACACGGGGCCCUCUUCGGAGUUCGGUUACAGGUGCUGCACGGCGGUCGCCAGCU
RNAcentral lists this ribosomal RNA (290 nucleotides) under uncultured bacterium. RNAcentral describes it as "partial 16S ribosomal RNA". It matches the Rfam family "Bacterial small subunit ribosomal RNA", at positions 773 to 1060 of the family's 1533-position model. The record is from RNAcentral.